UUUUUAAAAAGAUCAAUGUGUACUGAUUUUGACCCUUUUUUCACAAGGCAUUACAGAUUUAUUUUUUUUAGUUCUCUUUGUGUUCCUUUGCUAGCAAUUAUAUUCUACUAUUGUCCAUGCCUUAUUUGUUACAUCAAAAAAUCUUAUUCUUUUUAGGGGAUAGUUUAAAUUUACAUUUUCUUGCUAUUACAUAACUAAGCGCACUGGGCAUGCUCUUGACGACCUUUGAUAUUGCUAUUCAUUUUCUAUUGUGAAAGCUUUGGGCAUGCUUUGGAUGUCUUUUGAUAUUACCAUUCAUUUGCUAUUGUGAAAGCUUCUUUUUCUAAUUGAUUACAGAAUGCAGCGAAACAAGGGUCAGUUCAUAUCGUCCAAACCAAAGCCUGAAGAUUCAUCAUCUGGCGUUACCAGUUGGGAUACUGCCCAACAAUGGGGUUCACCGGAGAAUCGGCCGCCAGCAGCAUCUGCGUAAGCUUUUGAAAAAUCCUGCAUCUUUGACUAGAUUGUUCUUCAGUUAAAGUGCUCAGCAUCAUGGAUAUGGCCAAACUAGGAGGCAUAUUUGUAUACUUGGGCAGAUACCAUAAUUAUGUUGUAUCUGUGAGCUUCCUUGGGCAAGUAUCCAUUGAUGAAGAUAACUAAACACUAAUCUGUUUGCUCGAGGAUGCUAGGCUAGACUUGCCAGCACAUCUGAUAUCAAUCUUGCCAUUGGAUGACGUUUCAUCUCCUGCUGAUGAAAUGCCAUCCUGAUUCAUGGUCCUUGUGUUUUGAGCUUUUUAAUGACUUCUUUAUUUGUUUAAUUAAAUAGAUGUUCUAUGUGCUUGAAUUCUUAUAUUUACCCUUGGGUUAUAUAUGCAUGGGUUGUUUUGAUAUAAUAUCUGAACAUGGAGAUGCUUUAAUUGCUAUUCCUUUAGAUUUAGUGCAUCAAAAACAGUGUUAUUCUUUCAAGAUCUGAUCUUGAUGUUUUUUUCUGAACAUAAUCAGAUGCCAUCAUUGUGGCAUUAGUGCAAAAUCUACACCAAUGAUGCGCCGUGGGCCUGAUGGACCGAGGACCUUAUGUAAUGCAUGUGGUCUGGUGUGGGCAAAUAAGGUUGAUAUUCCGAACUUUGUUCUAUGUUUGUUUUGCUGUGUAAUUAUUUUAAAGCUAGCUUCCUAUUUUCCUUUUUGCUUUAAUGUUACUAUGUUUUUUUUAGAUCUUUUUGAUUGUUGCAAGAUGCGGAAAGAGCUUUUGAGUGCGUCUUCUAGACCAGCUUUUGGAUUGGCAUAUUAGUGUCACUAAGUGUUCUACUUAUGGGCCUAGGCUGUUCUGGCUUCGAGAUGAGCUUUGGGCUUGGCCUAAAAGGAUAUGGGUUUGGGCCUAGUCAUGGAAUCCAAAGUCUAAAAGAGUUUCAAGGCUGGUUAUGGGCAAAGCUUGGCACAACUUGAGGCUGGCUUGAAACCCAAGUCUGAGUCGGAAGCCCAGCUCAAAGCUCGAGUUCGAAGCCCAACUCAAAGCCCAAAUCCACCCCCCAACCUAAAGCCUGACCUAGACCCUUACCUAAGCCCAUGUUCUAGUUUCUUAACCCUUGACCUUGAACAUGCCCUAGUUUCCUUUCCCUCCACCUCUGUAGCGUGCCCCAAUUUCCUCACCUCGCACCCCUGUGCUCGGUCUUAACUCUUCCUACCAUGCCCAUCCCCAUCCCUUGCCUCUUCCUCCUCCAUUGUCGCCUUUCCCUCCACCUCGUCUUCCUCCUCCAUUGUCGCCACCUUCCCCUUCACCCCCUCUGAGCAUUGUCACUCUGCUACCACCUCCCUUCUCGUCUUCUCACACUGCUCCCAUUACUCCCUCUCCUUCAUCCAGUCCACCCUCCUUCUUCCUCUUCCUCUUCUCCUUCCUUGCCUCUCUCUUCUUCUUAACCCUCUUCCUUCUCUCCUUUGCCCUCUUACCGUUACCACCUCCCCACGACCUCCAACUUCUCCACCUUCGCUCUUUUGAAACCCUAACCCUCUUCCCCUCCUUCCCUCUACCUUCCUCACUCUUGUCUUCCUCCACUUCCACGCUCUCCAACUAGAUUAGGCUCAAUUCCAGUUGAGCUUGCUUUGGCUUGAUUUGGAGUUGGGCUCAGAUUUGAGCUCCAAUAUCGGGCUGUUGUUGGACCUUGUAUGAUAUUGUUGAGCUUAAGCUUGACGCAGAGUGCAAUUUUUUUUUUACUUCACAGGGCUAGCAAGGCGAUGGCCUGACCUGACCCAGCAAGUUUCUAGCUCUAACUUGGAGAUAGUAGGCGGUGAUAUAGGAUAUUACUUAUUUUGGUUUUCCAAUGUGUAAUUCCUGGCUGUGCAUGUACCAUGAUUGCUUGUUAGGGUGAUCAGGGAUUUUAUCAUAUCAUAAGCUAAGUUUGUAGAAGUUGUCAUCACUUAUUGAAUUCAUAUGGUCCUUUUGAAAAAUAUAGUUAUUAACAUGUAUCACUUGCAUUACUUGUGGGAUUGAAGAGGUGCACGACUUAGAUGUUCUCAGGUUGAUCAGUUGGUUGGUUGAAAUCAUUAUCAUAUAAUAAGUUUUAUAUGCCUUGCUUAUAAAUUAAGUUAUAUGAUGGUCAGCGUUAUGAGCAAGACAUGCAUAUUGGUGUUAGAUGUAAUAUGGUCAUCAGUUUGAUAAUAUUAUUUGGAGUUGUCAUUGUUGUUAUCAUUGUCAUCACCAUCAUCUAAGCCAUUCCCAUCAAAAUGGGUCAGCUAUGGAGCACAACUUCAAAUCAAGAGGGCUCUAUGGAAGGAUUGAGCAGAUCUUCGAGGCCAGAUGGCAACCUAACAUUAACCCUCGAGAACCAAUUCUUGGCUAGUACAACUUUAGGCAAGAGAGGAACUUAAGAUAAAACCUAAAAAGCCAUUCCAAUCUUGUCAUGUAGGUUAUGACAGUGAAUGUGAAAAUUUAUUUUUAACAAGCUUGUAUGUGCUGUUCAAUCAGUUCUCGCACAACUGGACUUGAGUACAGAAGCCAUCCUGUUGGUUCCCUCUAUAUGCUGUUGUUUAUGAGUGUCUAGUCAGUUUUGCUUUUGUAGUAUUGGCAACCUUCUUUUCUAGUGCAUGUGGCAUCCUCUUUAUGUAACCACAAAUAUCUUUUUUGAGCUAAUACAUAGUGCUUUUCCCUCAAAGAAAAAAAAGAAGAAUUAGUAUGUGGUGCACAUGGAUCGUGCUACAAUUUUCUUAUUUUGCAAGGUGUGAUAGAACAAGCUAGUUCUCUGUCAGAUCUGGCUUCUUAUGUUAUAAUGUUGUUUGGCCAAGCCUGGAGUCUUAAUCUUUGCAUUUAUUAAGAGCUUAUUGUAUUAGUCAUACGGGCAGAGCUGUGAUAGACAUUCAUUGAAGUGUAGGGUACCUGGGGCUGCUUAUUUUACUUCCUGCCUGGAAUUCCCCUUUUUACAUCUGCGGAAGUACAAAGAAUCAUAUAUCGGUGGCAAAAAAUCAUUAGUUUUAUUGAUUAAAAUAACCAUAACCAUAACUGUCCAGCCUUUCCCAACUAUUGAGGUUGGUUUUUGGAUCUUCAUGUGCCAAGAAUUCAUCUCUGGUGUCACUUCUAAGAUUCUCCAUGUCUUUCCUCACAACCUCCAUCCAUGUUAUCUUCAGUCUUCGGUUUUCCCUCCAUUCUUGUAACCUUCAACAUAAAUUGAAGUACCUCUCAUUACUGGAGCACCCUCAGAUAUUCAGUGUGUAUGCCCAUACCCAUUGAUGAAUUAUUUGAUAAGUUUUCUUGAUAAGAUCAUCAAAUGGUUGCCUCCCUUAUACGAACAACCCACUGGAUUGCCUAUAAUAUUCUGCAGGUUGAUUGAUUCCCCCACUUGGUACAAUCGCUGUUGAUUACAAUGAACAUCCUUGUUAUAUUAUUUGAAGAAUAACGGAGAGAUUUUUUCUAAGUGAAGCACCUUUGGGAGGAUAGUUCUAGGCCUUUUACUAGCAGCAGUAGAUCUUCUGAUAUCAGUGUUGGCUGAAACUGGUAGGGGUUUCCCUUUUGACUCUUUCGACUGCACAAAGUUCUGGAUUCUGCAAACUUCAUAAAUAUGAUGUGUUAGCGUGCUAUAUAUAUAUUUGGAAAAGAUAAUAUGCAUGCUUAUGUAUGUUUUUAAUUUAUAUUAGAACCAUAACUAUUGCCAUCAACCUUUGUGCAGUUUUGCCAACUAUUUGAGGUCGCCUUUAUGGAUCCUCAUUCACCCAGCGUUUCUAUUAGCGGUAUCCAUGGUUUGUCGUACCGGCCUGAACCGGAUAGUACGGGGCAUACCGUACCGGUUCAGUAUCGGUACCAGGUACGGAUGCAUAGAAAUAUUUAGUACGCCGAAAGGAUCCCAUACCAUACCAUACGGAUAUAGUACUAGUGUGGUACCGGUAUGGAGUCCGGUACCGAGAUGGCGAACUUUGGCAGUACCUAUGCCUAAUAUCCAUGGAUAUCUUAUUGGAUCUAGACAGGUAGUAGUAGAGUCAAUAUGCGAUUUGUCAAAUAUUACUAGGUGAAAACCGAGAAAUUAUAUGUUUCUUAUCAAAUAAUAUUAAUUGUUCGAAAAGAAACACAAAAAUCUGUCAAACAUCCAUGACUAUAAUGCCAAAACACGGCAUAUUUUAAAUAAAAUAAGAAACAGGUCAUAUAGCUUAAUUGGUCCCUUGAAAUUCAAAUUUAUAGAAACCUGUCAAGGCCAUCUAUGUUUCAAAAAUGUCUCUUUACUGUUUCUUAAAAUACAUAUCCGGUUUCUUAUAUGUGCUACAUAAAUGGGUCAUUGAUAGCUAAAGACUACGUGGUCAUACUGGAAUCUUAGAUAUUUUUGUUAGAUUGUUGUUCUUUCCUGUAAAAGCAGGAUUUUUCAUCUACAAGGAUUCAAAAGUUUUCUAUGACACCUUUCUCCUGGAUAGUUUAUGUAGCAGCUGGCAUCUGACAGGUUCUUGAUAAAUUGAUGCAGCUAUAGGUAGGUGUAAGGCCUUUUUUGCCUGCUUGGGGUUGUUUUCCCUACUUACAGUUGACAAAAGUCGGGCUAACCCAUUUUCAAAAUUUGGAAUCUUUUAAAUGAAGUGCUACUAUUACAUUGAGUGUCAUAGCAGGGAGACCUGAAUUUUUCUGUAUGCUAGACUAAACUACAUUAUAUAGAGUCAUUGACUGUUUAUAAUUAUGUUUAGUUUGGGUAUAUAACUUAUGCACUUUUUGGGGACAUGCAGGGAACAAUGAGGGAUCUUUCCAAAAAUCCACCAGCAGCCAUUCCAAAUGCCUUAUCAGAACCAAGAGAAGGGGUAAGCUGUUUAUUGUCGCUGUAAGAAGGCAAAUUUGCAAAUUUACUUCUUUCUGUAAUCCUUUAUCUGUUUGACAUGCUCCCUAUUUUCAGAAUCACUUGUUCUAUAUUCUUGAAUUCGUUUGAUUUUCCUGUUUCAUUUAUCUGAACUGACUUUUUUUCCUCUCCAGAAUCCUGCUGAAUCAGGAGCUGCACAACCCCUUGUGAUCACUGCCAACGGUCAUGACUCAUAAUGGGAGGUCCUGUGCUUUUGGCGUUAGGGAUUCCAAUAGGAAGAGUUGAAUUGUAGUGGGGAACUCAUCCCCCUUAAUAGCUUCUCAAGAGCGUAGAAUAUUAUCAUACAUGUAUGUACAAUAUUAUUAGAGUAUUAGAUAAAGAAUUUUUCUUUCUUUUUGGCAAUCCUUAAGACUGCUACAUUUAUUGCAAUUUAAUCAUCAUGGGAAGAGUCACAGUCGCUCAUCUAAUUUAGUCAAACUGAUAUGCGAAACUUCACCGUGUUCAUCUCUAGUUCAAAACUGAUGUACUGAAUCUGUGAUUUCAUUCAUUAACUUGGCGGAUUGCUAUACUAUUGCCAUAUUUCACAAAGGAUAUUAUGUGGUACCUUGUUUAAUAGGGAAUAAAGCCUCGAAUUUAUUAGCUUGCAUGAUUUUCAGGCUUGCAUCAUCAAGGACUUAUGGAAGUGCCUGAUAAUUUUUUGAAAGGUACAGAUACCAGUCAGUAGAUUUUCUGACUGUAAGUAGUCCAUUGGAAUUUUUCUCAAGAAUCAUUGGCUUAACUGGGCUAGCAAUCUGUUUUCACUUGAAGCAUUUACUUUGGAUCCCUCACCAUUGGUGAUGGCGUUUGUUGCUGAGUGAUUUAAUUCAUUGGAGGUGGAUGACAGCUAACUCUUCAUGCAUGGUAAAUCAUGCUUCAUGUCUGGGACCAAAAACGAAAAGCUGCUUGUCAUGGGUAAAUUUGUGGUUUGGUGAAGCUGAUCUACUAUCGAUAUCUUUCGAGUUAGUGCGAAGGUUGGAAGAUCUUUUGGCUACAUAUGGUAAGAAAACUCAUAACAUGUGAGUUUAGGGUUGUUUUGAGAGAUUGAUAUAGGAUGCUGACAGGAAUGAUGACAUGUACUAUGAACUAUAUUUAUGAUACGAACUUUAUUCAGGCAAAACCUGGACUUUUUUUAAGUUAGAUAUGAAUUGUUUUUAUACAACUCAACGUCAGUUUGAUUAGCAUGUAGACUGUCAAAUAUUUUCUAUUUAAGAGUGAAAUACUUAGGCCCAACCUCAAGCGAACCGUGACUGGUUUAGGACUAAAAGCCUAUGCCUAACUUAUCGGUCAUUGAGUCGCCCUUCCUCUCUGAGUGUUGCUCAGCAAUCUAUCCCAAAUGGUAGGUGGCUUUCUAUGUUUGAGUUCUAAUCCUGAUGGGAUUAAAGUUGGCUCCGAUAACCCAAGUCCGAAUAGCAUCAACAAAAAAAAUAAGGAAUGAAGAGAUGAAAGUUAUGAAAAAGGUAGAGAGAAACUUUGAGCGACACGGUUAGGCCAUAAUGCUUCCAAAUGGCCGCAUAGAAAUUCUUCUAUGAGCUUAUUUCCACCAAAAACAUCGCAUGCGCCCACAUCUAACGUCAAAUACAAGGUGUCGGUUAAAACAGGCGUGAUGUCAGAAGUGGAAGUUGUCCCGUUUCAAGACAUGGCACCGGCCAGUUGAAAAAGUUAAAAGCACCAAACAUUGCCGUUUUAUUCUGAGGUGCUCUUUUGAUGUUAUGAUAGCUAAAAUGACACUUCCAUGCCUGGAAACUAGACUUCAAAACAUGCAAUCAUAUAAAUAUUAAUAUAAUUGCUGUAUAGUCUGCAACCAAUUAAUACAGAGUUAGAUGUAUACAAUCCGAUCCCUCAUGUGCAACGAUUAUUUCAAUAUUGCGAAUGCAUAACACCUAUAUUACAAUAAAGCGAUAUUAUUUUUCCACCAAGAUUCACUCUUAAUGGAGAAGAAGUAUAAAGAAAAGUUCAGAGGGUAGAUAGAAGGAUAUUUGAUAAUAAAAUCAAGACAGAUUUUAGAGCAUCACCCAUGUUUUGGAUUAUAACAGCUACUAUAAUAUUGUAAUAUGUUGCUAAGAAGAGUACUUUUUUAUAUAAAAUAUUACUUUAGAACUUAAAAUUUUGUCCCAUUUUUCUGUUGGGUGGUACUAUGAAUGUUUUGGGAAAAAUUAAGUAUCAAAAAAUAAGAGUGCAAUUUAUUUUUAUUACUGAUUUUUUAUUAAAAAAUAAUUAUAAUAGCCAUUACAAUAACUGUUAUUUGGAUAUUGCAUAAUUUGAUAUGAUUUUUUUAAGCAAAUAAUAAAAAUGAUGCAUGCAUGAUGCGUGGAGAGAUAACAAAAAUUGAAUUAUAAUAUGAUGAUAAUAGAAGAAUAGUAAGAACCUAAAGUAAGAUGAGAAAUAUAUUAUAAGUAAAAUAUAUUUAAUAAUUAUUGAUGAUGUUGCUGUAACAUCUCACUAACAAAAAGAUUAAUAACAAUAGAAAAGAAAAUUUGUUAAACAUAACAUAUGAAUACUUGUAAUAGGAUAGGAAAAAUAUGUGCUUAUAUUAAGAUAUCACAUCUUGUUGAUUUGAUGCAGAAGAUUUCCAUUUAUUCUCUUUUAAACUCUAGCAGAUAUUUUACUAAAAUUUACCAUAAUAGAAAUAAUUGAAGAAGUAAUCAAAAUAAUUAAUAUAAGUUAAUAUUUAAUAAAAGAAUUGUAUAUAAAAAUAAUAAAAAUAAUCAAAGAAAUAAUAUAAAAAACAUAAUACUAAUCUACAGGCAAAGUUUUUUUUUUGUCUCAAUCUCCAUGAUAGUAAAUAUUCGUGUGUGAAGAAGAAUAAAUAAGAUUUAGUGGCUGCCUUGAACGGGCUUGCCAGAUUCAUUUUUCCUUUUUGACAUCAGAACCUGCUCUUGUUACUACAUUAGUCUAUUGUCAUGUACGAAAAAUAUCAAAUACAUUUGAAGGAUUUUGAAGAGUCAUAUUUCAAAAAAAUAUUAGAAUUUGAAGGAUCUUUAUUGUCUAUCCAAAAAGGAAAAAAAUGAUUUUUUCUGCUUUUUUUCGAAUUUUGUGCACAUAUGAAUUUGGAAGAUUUUGAAGAGUUAUAUUUCUUAAAAAAAUUGAGAUUUGAGGGAUGCUCUAUUUCGUGCUCCGACCCACAAUAUAGUCGUCAAGGUCAGCCAUCCUCAUGUCAAUCACUCUCCUUCCUCAUCUUCUACCUCCCAUUCUAGAUCUUCUCCUCCUCCAUCUUUGCUAAUUUCAUCCGCUCUCUCUCCCCCUGCUUCAGUGCCAACUAACAGUAUUUUUUACAUAGAAUCUUUUUUAAUUAUUUAUAAAUAUAUAUUUUUUUUCUGAAUUUUGGAGACGAUUUUUUUCUCUCUCUCCUUCCUGUUUAGGCUGUUGUAAACUGUUAUAACGAUCACCAAGAAUAGAACCAUUCUCCGCUGCUGACGUAACACAUGAUGCCGCCCGGAUUCUAGUAAAGACUGUUCCCUGUCGACGUGUUUUCUACCAAUUGCUGACUGCCACACUGCCACACGACCAAGCGAGGAAUUCAACGGUGUGGAUAGGUUUCCUCGACCCGGGGCCAACGGCAGAUAUCAAUCCCGCAUAGUAAAAUUUAUGCGCGCUCCAGGCCACACCGUUUACCUAUUAAAGGUCGCUGGCGGUGGGGAAGGGCCCGGAGACGACGACCAGAGGGCGUCUCCUCAAGCAACUUCAAAACGAAAAAUCGGGACAAUCGGGGCCGAUCCGUUGCCCUUUUUUCGGUUCUGCCGGAGGAGAAGAGUCCGCGAGGGAGGAGGGGGGGGGGGGGAGGGUUUUUAGGGUUCCGGUUAGCGUUAGGGCUCCGGCGGGCGGGAGGCGAUGGCCCGGGGUCGGUCCUCUUCUUCGAGCCGGUGGCGGUACGUCCACCCCUCGUACUACCUGAAGCGGCCGAAGCGGCUGGCCCUCGUCUUCAUCUCCUUCGUUUUCAUCACCUUCGCCGUCUGGGAUCGGCAAAGCCUAAUACGGGAGCAUGAGGUAGGCCCCGAUCGCGUCCUUCCCUUCUUGUAUUUUUCUCUACGCUAUUCAUGUUUCUUCGAAAUUUCGAUUUGAAGUCGUUGACUUUUUCUUUGGAGUGUCCGAGUGGUAGAUCUGUUCGCCUAUCAGUCAUCCAGUAGUAGAUGCCUAAAAGAUCGUCUCCUUAUUGAUUUUGAUCGUCUUUUCUAUAAUUUUUAAGCAAGAUGUCAGUGACAGAAGAGGCGGAUUAGUUUAAAGCAUGACGAAGGGAUAAUCCCUAAGCGUUGAUUAAAAGACGUUUCUUUUUUGACCAAUAAAUUCGAUCUGUUCAGAGAUGGGAUAAUGAUUCAAAUAAAAGUUGGAUCUUUAGCUAGUUGUUAUGUGUAUAUGAAUGUUGGGAAUUAUCUUUCAAGCGUACUACGUUCGUUUUCUUUAGUUUUGAAAAAUACUAAUUAUCACUUCCACUGAAAUAAUUCAAGGAGAUCAUUGCAAGAUUUAUAUAUGAUAGCAUAUUUCAUGCUUCUCGUGAAAGGAAGUGAUUGUGAAGUUCUUUAAUGCGCAGGAUGAGAUUUCAAAACUGAAAGAAGUAUUGAGCCGAUUGCAAGACCAGGUAUAAAUAUAACUUAUCACACUGUAAGUUUGUUAGCAAUUUGAUUUAUCUGUUUUUUUUCUUGGGCUAUUUCACUUUGAUUAACAAUUGUAAAUGAAGACUGUUUGAACAAAUAAUUGUUGUUGUUAUUGUUUAUACUGUUCUUUUGAGUAUCAAGGCAUUCCAGUUUCACUUGAGACUUUUUGAUUUCCCUAUAGUUGAGGGAAGUAGAUGGGAGUGUGGGAAAUUUUGGUGAACGCUUCAUUAGUGCAAAUGAUAAAGAAAUCAGCAAGGACUUUGUCGACAUUGAUCCUAUCAACAAGGAACGUAGAGAAAAGGUGAAAGAGGCUAUGCUUCAUGCAUGGAAUUCUUAUGAAAAGUAUGCAUGGGGCCAAGAUGAACUCCAGGUUUGCUACAUUAUAAUUUGCUUUUCGUAAAUUUGACUAGUUGAAUCCAAAGAUGCUGUUGGCGUUAUGCAAUCUCUUUCUUUUUUGGGCAGCCACAAUCAAAGAAUGGCGUCAAUAGUUUCGGUGGUCUUGGAGCAACUCUUGUUGACUCUCUUGAUACAUUGUACAUAAUGGGCCUAAAAGAUGAAUUCCAAAGAGCUAGAGAGUGAGUUAUCACCUUGACAUUUCAAAAUAGUCUUUAACACAUUACAUGUGCCCAGACAUUUCCUUUUGUAUGGAAUUUGUUCUUACAUUCUUUCUGAUUUACAACAGGCACAUGCACAAAAAAGUUCUCAUUGCAGUUCUGCUCCACAGCCUUUUCUUGAAUUCAUCUCAGUUUUGUGUGCAUGAUUUCUUGCUAACAAUAUCUGCAAUUAAUACUAUAGUGUAUGAUUAACAUAUAAAUUAAAUCAUUAUUAGUAGGGGAUCACCAUAUAUUUUGGCAGCCUAUGGCUUUUGUAGGCAAUAUGAAAACAUGUCAGAUGGGCUGAUCUCCAAUCUGGAAUACAUGGCCUGACUUGACUAAGGUCAAGUUUCAGAGAGUAGCUUUUGGACCGAUAGCUUGGCCUAGUUUUGUUCCAAUGAGGGAACAUAUUAUAUGUUUAUAUGAACUUUUGCAUCUUAUUGAUUUGUUGCAUGUGCUGAAAACAAUCUUAUGUUGUUUUCUGUUCUUGGUGGACUAGAGGAACUAAGACUUGGGCUAGACAAAACAUUAUGAAUUCCUGCCAAAGUAAUAUGUGGCCUGUAUAUCUACCUUAUAAAUGCACUCAUUUUGUGUCUCUAUUUCUUUAAUGCUUGUUGAUCUCAUUUUCUGUCUCUACUGUGUAGAGAGAUCUAUGAAUCCUGAGGCUCCUAUCUUCCAGUCAACUUUAUGGAUGUCCUGUCUAUACUGUUUUGACAUCCUUUUGCUCUGUCUCAGUAGUCAGUGCCACCUCGAAUCACAUCCCAAGCUCUGAAAAUGUCAAUUUUCUAGAGAAUACAAUUUUAUUUAGAAAAUGGAAAUCGUACUGUGCAUAUAGAGAUUUGCAUGAUCAACACUUCCAAAACUGAAUGUAUCUAGAAUAUAACAUGCUAUGAAACAUUAGCUGGCCUUCAAAUGUGAUGUAAAAUGAUGUAUUCAACUGGUAUUAAUGUGAAAUGGAGGUUAAUGAUAUGACAAACUUGUAGAAUUGAAAUUUUGUUAGUUGUAUCAUCUUCUAGUUACUGACUUUGCUUUACAAUUGACUCAGCUUGAGUAACAAAUGGAGGCUGCAGUGAAUUUAUCUUGCUGUUCUUGGCAGAAAUAGUUCUGUAGCAAUCCCCAAGUUUGAACUUAAUCACAGUAGAAAUAGUUCAGAUCUGUGUAGCUAUGACACUUAGAACCAAGUAGAGGAGAAAAAAGAAAAUAAAAGAGAGUGGAGAAAAGGUGGGAAAUAUGAUGAUUUAGAAGAGAAAAGGAUGUAGAUGAAAAAAAUAGGGCGGUAGAGAAAUCUUGUUUCCCUCUCAUAGCUGUCCUUUUACGCCUUAUAAUUGACUUAACCGGCAACUAAUUAUAUCCCUAAUAGGACUCUCAGAAAAGUAAAUAAAGACAACCAUAACUUCAGAUCUCCAGAGAAAAGGAAAAAAGGAAAUAAAGAGAAAGAAAAGCUAGCAAUAACUUGCUGACAAUAAAUAUAGUCAUAGUCUCUCACUAAAUUAAUUCUAGACUGACUAGAAAAGAGGAACUUACUGGCUGAUUGCUGAGAAUUGCAAGCUGCAACAGAGAUUUCCAUAAGAUCCUGUUUGUUUUAGGCAAGAUAUGAAACAAGGCCAUGCCAGUCGGCAUGGGUUGGCAUGUGGCAUGGCUAAGUGCCAGCUUGUGCGAACCACUGGCACAACAAUGGACAUACCAUGUAAUUGCCAGGUUGGCAGGACAAUGGCAUGAUGCUUUUUGAAAAUUUGAUUUUGGGCUUGAAUUUGGCUGGCUUGUGGGGAUUUAGUAGCCUAUCUACUGUUGCAUUAAGCAGACAACCUUCUGUUUUGGUCCAUAUACCUGCCACUUCUAAAAAAUUUUAAUCAACAUGCGCAUAAUAUUCAUAUACAUUGCCGGAAUAUUUACAUCCAGCAGGGGUGCCAUUGAAAGAACUAAUGCUAUAGUAAGUAACAACUUUCUAUUAUAUUAAAACUAUAUUUCCUUUGUUCAUGCUGAAAAAUACGAUUCCAAUACAUUUUAUCUGACAGUUUGUGAUAAUCAACUUAGACAUUCUUUGUCUCCACAGUGAAUAAAUGGCGUUGCGAACCAUUAACAAGAAUUCCUUCCCCAAAAAAAGAAAAAAAAUCGCAAGAACCAUCCUUCUCACCCCUUACCUCUAAAUUUAGAAAAUUGUGAUGUCUCAGUUCUUGGCCUUUCCCAUCCUACAGGGAAGAUUUGGUUGUUUACUAACUCUAUAGUAAUGCCUGAAGUACAAAAUUGCAUGCAUUGACCCUUCUAUAUUGGUUAAAUAUGUAUUUAUAAAGUACAAAAAAAUAAGAAUACAAGAAUGUGCACACAAAGGGAAGAGUGUGUGUGUGUGAGAGAGAGAGAGAGUCUUGACAUUUUUGCGCAUAACAAUUCUAUUGUAGUCCAACUGGAGCUCAUCCUGUAGAUUUAGACUUUUCAACAAGUGCUGGCCUGAGCCGAGAUUUGGGCUGUUUCUUUUCCACUCAGUUGUAUCACAGGGUGUUAAAGCUUGGCUUGUCCUUGGGGGGUGCUUAUGUGUAAUGAGCCAAAUCUUGAGCUGAGUCAGCCCAAGCUUAUAUAUAAUUAUGUGAAAUGACUGGUUUUCGAGCUUGGCUUAUUUAUGAGCAGGCCUUAGAUGAGUGACUGAGUGCAGCUAGUGUUCCAAAUGAAGGAGCCAGUUAUCAAGCUGAACUGUAACUGUUCAUGAAUGACUAAGCUGAUUUGCAGCCCUACAAAUUGUUAACCCUUUUGGCAGUAAUUCAUAGAAAUUUUUGAGGACUGCGAAGUUUUACCACUCUGUUUCUGCUAGACUUGCUGUAUAGCCCUUAAGUCACUUUACUUCAUUUACUACAUGCAAUUUCUACCACCAUUUCAGCUUUUUCCUUAAAUUUUUUUCCCCAACAUUUUGGGUUCGUAAGUUGUAUAAGAAUGGUUUGUUGUAUAUGAAAAGUGCAACUUUGUUUUGUUGAAACUGCUCCAGAAAGCUUCAUGUCUAUUUGUGUGCAUGAGCUUGUAAGGUGCAGUCAGAUUGGCUCUCUUAAUGAGGAAUAAAACCUGUGGAGCUGUUAAAGAAACAUCCUCUUAGAUGUUUGGAUGCCUGUAUGAUUUGCACUACCAUGCAGCUCAUUAUAACAUGAAAAUAUGAAAAAAUUAAACAUGGCUGUCCUGUCUAUUUGCCCCUAACAUAAUCAUAAUACAUUUGCUGAUAUUUUAUCACUUUUUCAGGAUUUUUUAACAAUAUGCAUUCUAAGUGUCCAUUGACUUUAUAUCAAGUAUACCAUACUUCAAACCAGAGAUUGUGCAUCUUGCUUUAUAAUCAUCUUUGCAGUUUAUGGUGCUUAUCUAAGUUCUCAUUGCUUCUUGAUGGCAGAUGGGUUGCAAACUCUUUGGAUUUCAACAAGGACUACGUAGCAAGUGUCUUUGAGACAACCAUAAGGUGGCGUAAUAAGGUUUAAUUUAAUGAUUCUUCAUCUUCAUUUCAUAAAUAUCUUAGAUAUUAAGUUAUGCUAAAAACUUCUGACAGUUUUCGGUGUUGGGGCUGUCUGUUUCUUAUUUAUGUAUAUUAUAUCAUCAUAUGGUUAGAGAGAGCUUAGCCUACUCAGGUAGUUUUCCUAAAUAUUUUUGUCUGUUUUUGUUAAAUUUCAGAGUUGUUGGUGGACUACUCAGUGCAUAUGAUCUCUCUGGGGAUGAAAUAUUUCUUGAGAAGGCCAAAGACAUUGCUGAUAGGUUGUUACCUGCGUGGAAUACACCCUCAGGGAUCCCUUAUAAUAGAAUCAACUUAGCUCAUGGCAACCCACAUAAUCCUGGAUGGACUGGGGUAAUCUAUGAACAUCCUUGCUUUUUCUUUCUAUUUAUUGUUUCUACUUGCUAUUUACAAGCUCUCUGUUGGGGUAAUUUUACCUUCAGUCCCAUAUACUUUGGUCUAAUUUGAAUAAGUGGUCAUGCGGGUCAUAGGAUUGGUCUGACAUGGGAAUAUUGCUUAAGCUUUGGGCCUAGCUGAGCUAGUUUUUUCUGUUUUUAUUUUCUAAAUACUUUGAGAAUAAAAUCUUCUAGUGUUAUAUAACAAUGUACAUCUGAUAAUGCAUGCUGCUUUUUAGUUAUUGAGCUUUUUGAUUUUGUAGCUUUUAGGGUUGAGUACAAAUUUUCAUCCUUAGAUUUUGUUCUAUAAUCUUGAAUCAAAUGGCUGCUUCUAAUAUUAAAGACAUACAGUUUCCUGCAAGACAGCUUCCCUUAUCGACGGCCAAUUUGAAGUGGAUACUACACGGCUUUGAUAAAACAUCUAUAAUUACCAUUAGCAAAUAACAUUAUCUGCUGCAAAUUUCUGACUACACAUGUGAACCUUGUUUUGUAGCAUGCUUAGCAAAUGAUAGGAGCCCAAAGAUUAUUUCUUGGUUGAAUGUUCGAAAUGAAACUCUUUGUUGUUAUAUUCUAGGUCAUGUCUAUCAACUGUUAAGACAAAACUUCUUCGGUUCUUCCAUUUGUUUUCUUUUUUCCUAGUCAUAAUUGCAUAUUAUAGCCUUCUCUUAUUCAGAUUUGUGACUUUACUAGCUAUUUCCUACUUGAUAAAACUUUGAAUCAUGGUUGUUCAAAUCAUGGCUAUUUCUAAUAUUAAGGGACAUACAGUUUCCUGCAAGAUAGCUUCCCUUGUUGAUGGCCAUUUGAAGUGGAUACUCGAGGGAUUUGAUAAAACAUCCAUGAUUACCAUUAGCAAAGAGCAUCAUCCACUUCAAAUUUCUGAAUACACAUGUGAACCUUGUUUUGGUAGCAUGAUUAGCAUAUGGUAGGCGCCCAGAGAUUAUUUCUUGGUUGAAUGUUCGAAAUGAAACUUUUUUUGUUAUAUUCUAGGCCAUGUCUAUUGACUGUUAAGACAAACUUCUUCCAUUUGUGUUCUCUUUUUCCUGGUUAUGAUUGCAUAUUAUAUCUUUUUUCUUAUUCAGAUUUGUGACUGUACUAGCUAUUUCCUACUUGAUAAAACUUUAAAUCAUGGUUGUUCAAUUGUUCAAAUCAUUCUUUAAGUUUUUAUUGUGCUAGUUCUGUGAAUCAAAUUUUAUUUAAUGUGCCCCCAUCCCUGCAGGGAGACAGUGUCUUGGCAGAUUCUGGCACUGAGCAGCUUGAAUUUAUAGCUCUAUCCCAGAGGACAGGAGACCCUAAAUACCAGCAGAAGGUAUUUUUUUAUGCUCUAGCUGGUUCCAGUAAGUUAUUAUUGCUACUAGAUUUGGAGGCAGACAUGUAUAGCGAUCAAGUCAUAUAUGUGCUGGGUUGCUAUUAUGGCCGCUAGUAUAUUUGACAAUACUUUUCUUGACAUUCCAUUGAUUUGCUGUAGUAGUGCCUCUUCAUGUCCAUAAGUCUGUGACUGCUAGUAAUACUUGUUCUUAACCACAUUAGUGGAGAUCUAUCUUUGUCACCCUGUCCUCACCCUUUUAAAGCAAGAUAACUGAUCCAGUGAUAUGGGCUUUCGAAUCGGGGGACCUUAGGAAAAGAUUUGAAAUUUUGAAUACACAUCUAAAUUGUUUCAUCUGACUAGAGAUUUGCUUCCUUGUGGAAAUUGUCAAAGCAACACUACCUGGAUUAAAAAGAUGCGGCUUCUGAUGAUCUUGAUCAUCUGGGGUGAAGGUUCGAGGUUGAUUUUGCUAAGAGCAAAAAAUAUGUUGUAUAGCCAUAUUUUGGGAAAAUGUCGGGGACUAAAAGAGUAUUAGAAGGGGGUAGGUACUAACAUACUAAUAAAGGUCGGAUUUCAGCUUAAAGAAGAUAGCGCCCGGCUAUGAUUGCUUUGAUGAUAGAUAAAUUUUAUGAAUGCCCGUAUGCUAGAUGCGUAAGCCCCUGUUGGUGUAUCUGGAUUUUUGGGAAUCUGACAUGCCAAAUGCCUGUAUCUGUCAUUACUUGAUGCCUGCGUCCAUGUUGACCCUGUCACAGGUAUCUAUAAUAAUAUCAUGGAUUAUUUUGUUUUAGUUUAUAAACAGGAAAGGCAAUUUUGUAAGAUCUUUGAUGAUCUUAGGAAUCAAAUUGCAUGUUCAGUGUAAGAUGCUUAGAAUUUUCAAAAAGUCUUAUUGACUGUUGGAAUGAGGAGGUAUGGCCCAAAAGUUUCUGUAUUGUGGAACUAUUUUUCUGAUUAUAGGAAAACUAUACCCCCCAUUGACUUUUAGGGGUCUGUAGUGGAGGCACAUCAUGAUAGGGGAAACGGUGCCCUGGAUUCCUGGGUGAAUGUUUAAACUUGCAUUAACCUUAUGCAUGCUAGCUGCUUAAGCCAAUUGCAUUAUGGUUCUUGAUUUGCAUUGGAUCCUCUCUAUGUGAAGUAUAAACAUUAUUUAUACAUAAUUAUGUUUUAGAAUGCUUUGCUAUCAGGGCUCUGCAGAGCCUUGUUUCUAAUAAAUCUGUAUAGUUCUGCGAAGCCAUCUAUCCAACACAUGCUCUUCUAUGAUAAUUUGUGUUGUCUUUUAAUUUAAAGACAUUCAACAAGAUCUCAACAUGUUUUUUGAUCUCUUUAUGAAUAUCAUUGUCAUUUCAGGUGGAGAAUGUAAUCACACAACUUCAGAAGACAUUUCCUGGUGAUGGUUUGCUUCCAAUCUUCAUAAAUCCUCAUUCAGGCGCCGCAUCACACUCAACGAUUACAUUUGGUGCUAUGGGUGAUAGGUAGUCCCAAUUUUUUAACUAUGAUGUGGCCAUGCUUUUCUAUUGAUUUUGUUUCCGGGGGAUGAUUGUGUUUAUAUUUCUGUUAGGUUUCAGAUGAUCUAUCUUCUUUUUUUGUCAAGGUUAUAGUUGGAUGCCUUGUUUUAAUUGUAACUUAUUGUAUAAGCUGUCUGUCAGUGUUGAUCGUUGUAAGAUUGUUAUUGAUUUGAAUAUUUUAACAAAUUGCAGCUUCUAUGAGUAUUUACUUAAAGCCUGGAUACAAAGAAACAAAACUGAAGCUGUGAAGCAUUACAGGUUAGAGCAUAUCAUUAUUUUUCAUCAUCAAUUCUCAUAAUCCCUGUGGUUAGGAAAAUGCAUCGAAAUAUCUGCCUCAUUUUAAUUUUUAAGCCUUGCACGUGAUCCUUGACUGACAUAUAAUGUUAUCCUGCACAUGAUAUUUCUAUUUCUUACAUGACAUUCCUGGAAUUGUAAUGCCUAAUUAACCAAAAUACCAUGUUUUUUUUUAAAUGUUAAAACAGACAAAUGUGGGAAACAUCCAUGGAAGGCUUGUUAAGCUUGAUCCGGAAGACUACUCCAUCUUCUUUCACGUAUAUUUGUGAAAAAAAUGGUGGUUCUCUGUCUGACAAGGUAGCUUUAUUUUGGCCAAACAUAAGCUUUUCCUUCUGACGCAAUUUCAGUAUUUGUAUUUUAAAGUGCUUGAGUUUUCAAUAUUUGCAGAUGGAUGAACUAGCAUGUUUUGCUCCAGGCAUGUUAGCCUUAGGAUCUUCUGGUUAUGGCCCAGAAAAAGCCGAGAAAAUUUUAUCACUUGCCGAAGAGGUAUACUUUUGAUCAUCUUGGUAGCACAAACAUGGACUUUGUUUGAUUACUAACUGUUUUUUACCACCAUAUGGUGUGCAUUUAGUAACUAUACACAAAGGUUCACUUAAAACAACUUCGACGUGUAGGAAUUUAUUUAUUCUACUGAGUUUUUUUUUAAGAUACAAAAGCUCACAGCUUAUCACGUUUAGUGUACAAUCCUUGGGAUAUGUCCUUAUAGAUCAGACCCUUUAAAUCAAUGGCGAGGAAGUCCUCCUAUCAUUGUUCCUACUUGUACCUCUGACUCCACCUUGCCAACCAGUUUGGCACUGUGUUCGCUGUAUUUACUUGGCCUUAACAAUUGUAAAUUGGUUAUGUAGCCAAAAUCUCCUUGAAAACAAAAAGGAACUCCAUUCUGCUGGUUUCACAAUGUUGCCCACAGUAUAAUUAACAUUACAAAGUGAAUCUGACUCAUCGCAUACCUGUUUCAUGUCUUGUUGAAGAGUCAUAAACUGAUCUUUGUGGCUUUAUUUAUAAUCUAAAACUCCAUUUUGUGUACGUCUUGUAUCUGAUUGAUUAGAUUAGGUCUAAAUUAGCCUUUCCAGUUUCCACAUCACCUCCCAAUGAAACUCCCAACCUAGCUUCUCCUUUUAGUGCAGUUUUAGCUGUGUCAAUAUUCAUUUUGGACCACCCUUAUCAGGUCAAAUUCAGUUUUGAAUUUAUAUGUUCUCUUAUUGUGCACAUUGCUUUUCAUAACACUUUUUAGAGAAGAUAAAUACUCCUUUGUGAUAAAACAAUUGAAAGAUGCCAAUCCUUCUCUAUAUUUGUUAUUUGCCUUGAAAAUCUACUGAUUUAUAUACCAACUCAUCCAUACCUUAUAACAAGGUUAGCCAAACCGGUAUUGGAUGGUGUACUGGCAAGCGACUAGUUUGGCACGGUACAGAUUCGUACGGUGUUGUUCUAGGAGAGUUGGACAGGGAGUGUUGUUCUAGGAGAGUUGGACAGGGAGGGGGAGAGGGAGGAAGAGAGAGAGAGGAAUAGAAAAAAAGGGUGAGGGAGGAAGAGAGGGAGAGAGAGAAAGGCCAAGAGAUAGGGAGAGAGAUGGAGGGCCGUUGUUCAUCGCGCGGGGCGGGGGGGGGACGGGGAGAGAGAGGANNNNNNNNNNGGGACGGGGAGAGAGAGGACUUUCCUAGGGGACCUUGUCAUCGGUAUCAUCGAGCCAGCCGGGGUUGGAGAUCCAGGAUUUCCAAACAUGGAGAGUCAAAGGAAGAACGUGGGGUGAGGGCACUUUAUAUUGAACCGAUAUGUUGAACCAUGUUGGUAGCCAACCAGUCCGGUUUGGUACGUCUUGAAUCGGCCUAUUCAGCAUGGUUCAGCUAACUCUGCCUUAUAAUAACCUUUUUUCUUGAGAUUUCCACCCUAUUUUCGCCAUUUAUCAGCAUUUUGAGAAAUUCUUGUAUGUAGCUUUUUAUUGUUUCUAGAAUAUAUGUACCUAUCUCCCCCUAUACUUUCUAAGGAUUAGGUAGGUUUUCACAAUCUUCAUCCUCUAAAUUAGUGUACCAAGUGAACAGCAAGCAGAUAUAACUAGAAAUGUUAGAAGUGAUUGUAUUGAAACUAAGUAACCAAAAUCUUCUCCUUAGGUGCUUUGCCUUGUUUGGAAUCUGCUUCUGACACACACUCUCUCUCUAACAAUCUUAUCCUACUCUCACCCUUGCUUCAGAUGCCUCCAUUCUUCUUGUUCAUAAAGAAUCAUUGAUUCUUGUUAUAUAUUUCUAUAAUGAACCCUAAUUCUCUACUAGCAUUAUCUUGAAUCUGCAUAUUAUGAACUUAUUUAAGUUGCGACAUGAAAUGGCUCAAGAUUGAAAAUCUUAGAAGUUUACUUUCAUUUUAGAUAGAUGCUUGCUAGUCGAUUUCUCUUAAUUUAUUUUGAUCCUAUACUUUUGCACCCCUUCACUGGUAUCUACCUUAAUUCUAACUCUUGAUUCAAGCAAUGAAGGAUUUAGUACUCGAUUUGCAUGGUCUUAUAAACAUUAUCUGCAGAGUCUUGAAUGCCUUUUGACAAUUGCAGAAGUCCAUAUAUGCAGCUGUCUCAUCCACACUGCUUUACUCCUUUUGUGAUGUCCGCAUGUCUCUGCAUCUUGUUAUGCUGUUACUGCAGUUUCAAUCUAGUUUAUUGGCUUGACUAUUUCGUUAAUUAGAGGGUUGCUCAUGCAGCUUGCUUGGACUUGUUAUAAUUUCUACCAAUCAACUCCAACAAAGUUAGCAGGAGAAAACUAUUAUUUUCGUAAUGGAGCGGUCAGACAAUUUUAUGCCCUUAAAUAUUUUCUUUUAUAUAGUAGAAUCAUGAUAGGAUGCUUUUUUUUAAUAAUAUUGGUACAUCGUUACAGGACAUGAGUGUUGGCACAUCAUGGAACAUACUGAGACCAGAGACUGUUGAGUCACUUGUGUACCUCUGGCGUUUCACUGGGAACAAAACAUACCAAGAUUGGGGCUGGAACAUAUUCCAGGCAUUUGAAAAGAACUCUCGCACAGAUUCUGGUUAUGUCGGACUGAGGGACGUAAGUAAUCAUCCUAUCAUUGGCCAUAAAUUCUACCUGCUUUCAUAUUGGAUGUGGCAUGGUUUAUCAUAAAGAAAUGUGCUCUUUUUGGAUGGUACUCACCCAUACUGAGUGGCCGCUCAACAUGAAUUUUGACCUAGUGAAUUACUUGUCUAUUUUUAUUAGUCUAUAUGUCCAGCAGCUGAGUUUUAUCUAUAUGCCUGACACUUGCUAUGCUUCCUUAUAACUUCAUAAAUGUGGACACUAUUUUUUAAAACUUUAAAAUGAUUUCAGUGGUUUAUACUCAUCCCAUGAAAUGAUUGGUUUGCACCUUGGAGGAACUUAAUCCAAUUGAGUUGAUGGCCAGAAAUUAGUCCGGACGCACAUCCAGCUUCCUGUAUAAAUCAAGCACCACUAAGUGCAUUCCAGACCUGUAACUGUGUUGCAGAGUUUGCCUAUUUCAAACCGUCAGGAUGAGUCUGAUGGACUUUAUGAGCUGUGUGCUUGCAUAUAGUUACCCAGCCUGAUUACUUAAAUGUAUGGAUCAGCCGAGCUUACUUAUAAGCAAUCACGAUGGGUACUUAUCCGGUUAUCUAACUUAGGGUUUUAUCUAGUUACCUAGCUAAGUCUGCUACUAUAUCAACCCAGAACAUCCCCGGAGAGGGUGAAUCUCUUUUGAGAUUUGUGGAGCUAGGGUCUGCGUGUUAAUUGGGGCCAAAAAAAAAAUUUUAAUUUUGCCCUUUGUGAUUCCUACAAAAAGGGAUAACAGCCUUUUCAAGGACCUUUUGGGGACACAACAUUUUCUUCUAAUUACAUCUGGAUGGAUGGCAGAUUUUAUGGUGUAUCGGAUGUGUAGACCUUGUACUUAGCUUGAUUGCUUCAUGCGAUCUGGAGACCAGGCCAUCAUCAUGUGGACUCGUCUCUCAUUCAACCUACUUGGCAUCCCCUGGCUUAUGAGACCUGUAUUUUCCAGUUUAAUGCUGGCGAUCAUAUGACUGUCACCUGUAUCCAAUCAGCUAGCAUGGACAUAGUGUUAUCUAAAUAAACCUGUACCCUCUGAAACUACAUAGCAUAUGCUCCAGACGUGAUGUUGACUUGUUUGUUCUACAUAAUUCCUAUUACUGGGACCACUGGAUGCUGUGUAAUCUUUUGCUUUUGGCUGUGCGCUUUUCAGUUUGAUUUCAUUGUAUAUUUUUUAAGUUUAGAUAUGUUGAUACCUCACUAUAUAAGCCCCCUUCUGUGAAAAUAUAAGUUUUUUUUUCUUUUUUGAUGAAGUAUAUAUUAGUAAGUAUUAGUAAGCGGGCCCACACCCGGACUCUGACUUCAAUGGCUCACUCCCAUAAUAGUUACUUCUAUCAGAUGAUUCUUCUUCCUCAGUGAAAUGAGCAGUUAAAAAGCAUUAAGCAGAGAUGGAAGGUAUCCAGCCUAGUUUUAUUCUAUUUAUUUUAGUUUGGUAUAUUGAGGAAAUAUCUACUGGUUUUUUCUCAUGAUCAUGAUUUACCAAGGUGUGACCUUGACCAUUUCAAUUGACUGGCUGGAUCUGAUUUUCUAAGGUGAAUUAUAAUUUUCCGGUAUUAUAUUGCAUUAUUUUCUGUUAUGUUCCUGGAGCGAUAAUGCUGAAAAGGAAAGCGACCUUGGAGUGAGCAAAACCUAGGAAAGUGGAUAUUCCUUUUCUUGGCACAUCACUGUGGAUGUUGGUGAAUCCAAGUGGGGCUCCUUUUUUUUUGAGGUAAGUGUUUGAUGGCUAGGUUUUUCGAGUCAGGUCUGGAGCAAAUUACUUAGAUUGUCCCCAUUGUAGAAGACGAGAUCAAAGGUUGGAUAAUUUCAAUGUGUAUUCCAGGGUUUAAGGUUGCUAGGUGAUAUUAAAUAUUGGAGGUUUCAGGUUUGUGUGGAUGUCCUGGAAACUGCUUGUCAAGAUGUAUUCUUCCUGCUAAUGAGAGGUUCCAUGGUUGCUGUGGGCUGAAAAGUAAUGGUGCUUGUCUUUUAGAAUUAAUGUGAUGAAUUGGAGAUUGAGGAGCAUUGUUGCUGUUUGUGCUCUUACAAGCCUACCGCAUGUUUACUUACGAGAAUGAGUAAAAAUGGCGGAGGUGUGAAGCUAAAGGAUGAUCUCCUAAAGUAACCUCGAGGAUGAGGUUUAAAUUGUGAUAUUUAGAUGCUGGCUUAAUGUCCACUGGUUUUUCUUGAUGAAAUCCUGGUGUUUGUCUCACUUCUCAUACAUAGGAAGGUCCUCACUUGUGACAAUCUGAUUAAAAGAGGGAAGGAGGUUGAUAGCACUUGCAGAUUAUUUUAGGAUUAAGCAGCAUUUCACUGAUCCCUGUACUUUCAAUUGAAACAUGGAAGAGAAUUGGACCUACUCUGGCACUCCUUGAUCUUGUCAUGACUCCCUUGAAAGCUGCUGAAGGUGUGGCAGUAGGGGAGACCAAAUAAGAUGCCUGAUCCCUGUCACUAUUUGAUGGUUGAUUUGUCAAAAGCGCAGACUUAAGUCUCUCAGGGAAAGUCAGAAUGGGGUGGAGCUAGUGGCUUAUUAUAUUUUAUUUUAUUUUUGUCUCAUCGCUUGCAUUUGGUAGAGAGUGACUGGUGCAUCAUAAGCAUAUUUUUUUUUUUCAUGCUUCAUUUUUAUAAGUUCUUGCUUUAAGAGCACCCUUGUAUCAUAUUGCCGUCCUCAUUCAUCUUAUUAAUCUAAUUUUGCUGCUGCUUAAGAAAAACUUUAACACCAAAAAAAAAAAUACAUGACCAAAAUUUACUGAGAUUACUACUCAAUUUUCCUAACUGCAACAAGUACUGAAAGAGAUAAGUUCAAGUUUUUGCAUCGAAUUAGAUAGUUUCUGAUAUUGGUGUCUUUCAGGUUAAUACAGGUGCAAAGGACAACAUGAUGCAGAGCUUCUUCCUUGCAGAGACACUCAAGUAUCUCUAUCUCCUGUUCUCUCCUCCAUCAUUAAUCUCCUUUGAUGAAUGGGUUUUCAACACAGAAGCCCAUCCUCUGAGGAUCAUCCCGCGAAAUGAUAAAGAAGAGAGCCUCAGAGCAGAUGGAAAAGCAAAUUCAAGACCCAAUCCAUUUGGCAGAAAGCAUGGAAGAACUGGAUAUAAUUGAGCAUUUUCAUCUAGAAUUUUGAGGGGCACCCUUCAUUUUAGCUUGUUUUUGUCCCCUUGAUGGGUGGUUUUCGAGCUGACAAAGACCAUAACCUCGGGAAGACAAACUAGCUGGUGAAUGAGGGGCUACGGGACAUGGUAACUAUAUAGUUAUAUUUACUGUAAGAGGAUGGCAUCAUGCUCGAUGACUAGAUAUCAAGCUUAUAGUCCAACUUCAUUUGAAGGAGAUAAGUGAAUCUUCUGAUGCAAGGUUUAGGUCAAGCAUUAGAUUCUUCUAUGCUUAUCGUUUAUAUAUUCCAUGUUGUCAUUCAGAGACAUAAAAAUCAAACAAAAUACGAGAAUAAUUAAGCUCGAAAUUUACAUUUGAAUGCAUUUCGUUUCAGGUUAUUAGCUGACUUGGGAAAAUGCUUUUCGGUUGCUUGGUUCCUAUUGGUUCUAUCUUGAUCUGUAUAAUAUUUUGCCAGGUGCAUCCUAUUUCAUUUGAUAAGAGAGAAGACCUACAAUUCAAUCGAAAGGGAGUCGGUAGUUUCCCUAGAGAAAAGCAAGAAAUUGUGAGCUUAUGUUUCAGCGUAGAGCCUUGUAAAUCUCAAUUAAGGGAAGCCUCAUUUGGAGUAAUCCAAGUUCUAGUGAUGGUUUAAUUUAAAGUUGGGCAAAGGAAGGUUUAAUGUAAAGUGCCAUCCGGUACUUUCAAAUAAAUGGGUAUGUUACUAUAAAGUGGUAGAGGCUGGUGGGGUUAAUAAAGAAGAUUCUUAUACCCCGUGAUGAAGAAUCCUUCUAAAAUGUGAAUCUUUAAAAGAAAAAAGAAAAGUAAGAACGAAAAAAGGACAACCUCCUAUCAGAUGGCCUUGUGACUCUUAUCAACGAAUACAGUCCGUGCGCAUUCGUUGCUACUUGCUUAUAGUCUAUUCUAUUUGUGACUCCAUUUUCUGUAAAGGCAAGGCAUGCUCAUGCUCAUCUGCACACCUUGUCUUGAACCGAAGCGCAGAGUUCAUGUCUUUGAUGGAAGAUUUUUUUUUUUCCAAUUUUUUUCCAACAGAGAAUCCAUGUAGAGAGGGGGAGCUUGACAAGGCGAGCUCAGAGAUUCUAGGGGUCUGGAUUUCAUCUUCUUGGCAUUUUGCUCCAUCCUUGGUGAGCUGAUGUUCCCAUGCUGUUAUACAUACACUGGUUGCAGUGUCUUCUUCCGCACAUGCUUCCCAUGACAAUCUCCAGAUUAUUUAAAAAAUGAUUCUUGAAUAUAUUCUCAUUGCUUUUAACCUGGUAAUUGAUUUUAUUAGUCAUUCUUGGGUAAUUUAAUUGAUAUAGAAUUAUUCAAUUAUUUGUGAUUUCUGUGGUUCGGUGAGGGCACUAAGAUGAGCACCGUCUUUCUCAUACUGAUUACUGCUCCCUCCACCGGAUAUUUGCCGUCCGAUGAGCUCCGUCACCACCAGGCUUAUCUCUUAAAAGAAUGCAAGAUAGUUUCGCCUCAUCUUUUGCAAACCUUGCUGGAUUGAUGCACCGGUGGCAUAUCUUUUAAAAGAAUGCAAGCCAACUAACUCUAAAUGAUCGACUGAUCGUAUCUUGAGCGAUAUAUCCUUGGAAACUCGGCAGAGAUAAUUUUAUAUAAAUGAGAUUUUUGUCCUGAGCGAAUAAAACAAGAGAUUUUAAGUGAACGUGCAUGUUACUCUAAUGUAAAGUUAUCUUUUAGACUAAAUUAUGAAACAAAAAUGCGCUAUUGUGAGCAAUUUUAGGUAAUCUUAUGGAAAUUAAAUUGUGAACUCAAAAAGAAUAGGCUAUUAGAGAGCUGGCACAAGAGUGGUAGUGAUACCCAAGCAUUCCUUGACAACAGUUCUGCCAAGAGUUCAAUAUGGCUUCCCAAUCUUCUGCUCCCAAGGUCCCAACAGGCGCAAGGAUAAGUUCAUGAAUAAAGUCGCUUUCAGAGUUUCAGUUUGACCCAUUCUGAAUUGAAAAAUCGAAGCCAGACGUAUUUUUUACCAACGAAGAUGGAUGGACGCCAUGUAUCUAGCUAGAAAAUCACAUUUUGCCUUAAAAACUCCUUUCCUUACAGCAUUGGUGUCAUAGUUUUAGAAGCAGCUCAAAGUGUAUUCACCAAUAUGCUUCCCAGUUCUCAGUACUACUCUUAGAGCCAAUAUGCCGAUUCUCACUGUUAUUCAUGAUUUCAAUCACAAAGCAAUACACUAGCUGGACAUAAGGUGUAGAAAAACUAUAUCAACUGCCGUAAACAUGACCAUCCAAUUUUGCAGCCAACUAAAUUCAUAAUAAGCAUAACUUCGGAUGCAACAGAAAAUAUCCCAUGAAUAACAAAAAUAAGGAAAGCAUCAGUAAUUAAAGCAUGUCCAACGCUAGAUUCAAAACACCAAAAUUGCAGAGCUUUCAUGUUUGUCCAGUUCCCAGUUGUCCAAUUCCUACUAAAAGCUGGAUCUAAGGAUCCAGUGAUUUCUUCCUCCCACAAGACAUUUAAAACAACCUCAGAUAUCUAGUUCAUCCUUCUGAUGAGCUCAUUGAUGUAAUCCUCGCGGUUUCCAGCAUCCCCUCCUUCAACAUAGUGCUUCCUCUUCUUCUUCAGGCCACCCAAGGGUGCCUUAAGCUUGAAUGGCCACAGGAAGUUGUUUGCCUCCUUGAAGUGUGGCCCAACAGUCAUGAUCUCAUGAACAAGGUCUUCGAUGCAAAUAAUGCCAUACUUCCCCAAGGCCUGACAAUUAAACAAUAACAUCACAUAAAUAAAACCACUAAUAGCACAUAAAAAUAAACACCACAAGUAUCCUAACAAACCUGUUCAAUGAUUGAAUUGUCCGAGAGGGGAAUCCUUUGCUUGUUCAACUUCCCAUAUCCUCUCUUGUAGAUUAACUCCCUGACACUCUUCAAGUUAGGGUACCUAAAAGAUUAAUUCCCACUAAGUGAAAACAAUCUCCACAAGAUUAACAACAACAAUUAAAAUUAGACAAAAAAAGAAGAAGAAAGGAUUCGAUACCCAUAUGUGACAUAAGGCUCGACCCUGCGCAGCAUGUUGAUGGUGGCCUUGUUAACUUUAAGGAACACUCCAUUAAAUAUCUGCAGCAAAAUUAGCAUCACUGAGGUCAAAGGAAUAUUUAAAACAUAACAUAAAUUUAAUGAUCAUCUUCCAUGAAACAGUGAUGCCAUUACCUGUCUGAGACGAAGGAGCUGCAAAAUCUUUCGGGUUUUCGGGUCAAUGGCGUUAAUACUGUAUGAAUGAGAUUAAGAAGGGAAAAAAGAAACACCAAACCAUGAUCGGUUACUGCUAAGCGUAGCUAAAAAAUCUGGUGCACAACAAAAUAACAAUUCGAUGAUGGAAAAUGGAAUGCAUACACUUAGGAAAAACAGAAAAAAAAAUUCCCUUGAAUGGUUACUAAGAAACAAAGCUAAUGUAUCUCUAGUCCAAUACCGGCAAUAACUUAUAAAAUGUCGAAUAUAUUGAUCGAUGAUUAAAUGAGAAGAAAAUAGCUUACCCUCGGAUUCGUAUGAUAAAGAGCAGCUUGGAUUCGGGGCUAACAUAAAAUCCUCCCUUCAUCCUCGCCUCUCUCUUCAAACGGAUCAGCUCCUUCUCCUGCCAAACCAGAACCAGUUCCCAUAUUAUAUACAAAUCAAAUUCUUUUAAGGAUCUCUAAAACAAUGGCUUGAGGUACUGAUUCCAAAGAAUACCCGGGUCUCGUACUCCUUGGCAUAUUGCUGGGCUCUGUUAAAGAUGAGCUUCCGGUUCUCACGGUCCUUCUUCUUCUGGGCCUCGAGCGCCUUCUUCUUCGCUAGCGCCCAUUCCUCCUCCCUCUUCCUCUUCUUCAGCACCGAUUCGGGGAUCACCGCCUUCGCUUCCUCCGUUGCCAUCUCUCUCUCUCCCUCUCUCUGCAAAGCCCGAUCACAAGAACCCAAAUCAGCGAAUCUCUAGACUGCAAUCAAAACCCUAGAUACGAAAUCGCUGCUCCCCGUGGCUCCCAAAACCCUAGAUUCGGAUAUAUUGAAACGAUCGCCGCUGUAGGGGGAGAUCGGAAAGCGAACCCGGAUGGAAACCCUAGAAUGGAAGAGGGGUUUGUUCUCCUCUGGGCGCUUACCUUUGGAGCUCUUGGAUCUACGAAUGGUUGUAGCGCGAGGAGGCGGGGGGGCACGCGGCUCGGCUCUAGGUUUUCAAGGGUUUUGUUCUCGAAGUUAGGGUAUGGAUGAGCGAAAGGGGUCGAGCAUCCAACGGUUGGUGCUUGGAGAAAGCUCCCAGAAGAAUCUGGUCCGUCCAUUAAGGCGCUGAUAUAAUGUUCUGUCGAGCCAGCGUAAGAAAGUGUAUUCCGCGGCACGGUUACGAGCUCUAGCCGUGGCAACCUGAUCCAAGAUUCCAAUGGUUCGGUUAUCCGGGUGCCAGCUUUUUUUUUUGUUGUCGUGGCGGUCUUCUUCNNNNNNNNNNAUAGUUGGUGGGCUGUUUAAACUGCUCUCAUAUGAGUACGACCAGCUACAUUACUAUCAAGAAUGCUACAGUCCGGAUGCCAGAUGUUAUUUUAUGAGAUUUUUGCUUUGUUCGUUCAGCAUUUUUUUUAUUAUUGUUGAAAAUUUUAUAUAUUGUCUCUUAUGGCUAUAUUUAUAUGCGAUAUGUAUAGUAUAUUUAUACUAAUAUAUAUAUAUAUAUAUAUAUAUCAUUUUAUAUCUAUUUUUUAUUAGUAUUUAAUUUUUAGUCCUGCAUAUAUUUAUAUAAAACUUGUACGUACACUUAUACUGGUUCUUGCUCGUUCUUAGAUUAUCCCUGUACAAGGUUAUAUAUAUUGUCCUCACACAAACUUGUAGCUGAGUACACACAUUAAUUUGAUGUUUUCUCACAACCUAUGUUAAAUGCAUGCUGGUCAUGUUGAAAUGAGGAUUUGAUAUCCAUCAUGUAUUCUGAUUUUCUUGUUGCAACCAAAUAUAUUUAGUGCCGGACAUACUUGUUGAGCAUAUAGUACAAUUUAUGAACUAGAUCAUGUUUGUUCACAAAUCAAGAGUUCUUAAAAUUUCACAAUAUAUUCUUUUUUAAAAUAUAUAUUUUAAAAAAGAAUAACUUUAAGCCCGAUCCACUUAAGAUCUUUUAUGUCUCCUCUUGGUAUCUCCAUCUCUCCUGUCUUCAACUCAUACUUGAUAUGAAAAAAGAGGGAGAGAUGAGGGGCAUCAAACUAAAGACAAGCGAGGGAUUAGAAUUGGGCUUUUUAUUGUUUUAAUGAUUAAAAUUAUAUUUAUAUAUUUUCAACUUUUUAUCAGUGGUGUGCAAGUGCUAUAUAUCAUUGUUGCUGCAUGAAUUUUUUUUUCUUGAUUGUGCAUGAACAGAGUUCAGAGUCAAACAAACGCUACGAUAGAAGCAUCGGCCAUCACCAAUCGAACAAUAGCUGAUGGAGACUCAUCCGUUUUAGUUGUCCACCUCUAAGUUGUAGUAGCCUCUUUCGUGAUUAGCCUUCCUAAAAAUGUGGUGGCAAGAGAAGCUCUGGAGUCUGAAGAUGUUCUAUUCCUGCCUUCAAUCUGAGCAGGAAUUGAACUAGCUAGCUUGAAGUGGACAAGAACCAGCUAGAAGAAUCCUUCCCAAACUGUUGUGAAUAACAAAUCCUCCACCUGCACGGCUCUGAUUGAAAGAGCCAUCAAAGCUAAUUUUAAUGAAAGCCGGUCAUGGAAGUUGGCGAUGAACAAGAAUUUGUUGACAAGAUUCCACAAAGUCCUGCAGUAUAAGACAACCAUUCAUAGAGCUUUUCUAUCAUUCAUAAAGCUGAACCGUUCACUAACCAUUCAGUAUGUAGUAAUAAGAAACUCCACAGGCCCUCUAUCUUGGUCUUGAAACAAGAACUCAUUCCUGCGCCUCCACACAAUCCAUAAAAGAUGGGCUAAAUAAGACUGUCACCACUGAUUCUCUUCAGAAUCUGCUUUGGAUAGAAUGAAGUGAAGAACUUGGUUAGUAGAGAGAAACAGAGGUCCCAGCAAAAAAGAAGAAGAAGAGAGAAACAGAGGUCUUUCAAAUUGCUGAGUUGUUAUCCAGUGCAUUGGAAGAAGAUGUGAUCAAUCAUUUCCAGAUCCCUCUCAUGUCUGCCUACCGUAGAUAGGUGAGAUAGUCUGAAUAGUACCAAAUAGUACCCAAGGCAGGGACGCGCAGAGAGCCCAGAUAGCGGGUGCGCUCGCUCAACGCUCCAGAUUAAAAGUUCUCUGUGCAUUUAACGCUCCAGAUCAAAUUAGAUAUCGCGUAACGCGUAAGCGCCGGGGCCUUUUUAACGGCUACUUCGCACUCUGUUUAAAUAGCUGCAGCUCUCCGUUCCCUAGGAAAUCCAAAGUCGAUUCAUGGUCGCGGAGAUCGGUCGGUAAAGAAGGGUCUCCUUUUUUCUCUUUUCCUCCUCCUCCUUUGUCUUCUCCUAUUCCUAUUCCGCGUUUUCUUUCCCUCGAUUCAAAAAGUCUCCCAACCCUAGGUCUCCGGUUGGUAAUCUUUUUCAAGAUCAUGAUACCCUUCUUCUCUUUCUUCGUCUUCUCGUCAUGAUUCUUCCAGAUGGGCAAUGUCCGUUAUCUUAUGCUUCUCCCUCUCUUCCAUCCCCCUUUCUUCUUUUCUAAGGGGUUUCUUGCUUCUUUUCUGUUUUUUUUUUGGUGCCGUGGGGUCUCCAAGAAGAGGCUGUGAUGAUUCCUGGACGAGGGUUUGCUGCGUUCUGAAGCAGAAGACUUCUAUUUCUAAUGGCAAGGCAGUCUUGGAUGGUCUGCUGCUGUACUGCAGGCAGCCGCUUGCUGCCGUCUUGAUUUCGUUGCGGAAGGUCUUGAGACUAAGAACACGGUGCUGUAAUAAAUGGUGAAUUUGAGCUUCCUUUUCCUCUUCCCUUCUUGGCUUUUCUAAGUUGCGUUCUUUUUCAAGAUUUUGUUUUUAAGGUCUCUUUAAUUUCUUUUGCUGUUAUUUAUUUCAUGUGUUGAGUUGCUUCUGCGGUUCCUCAAGAAUUCAUAGGUUAUGGAGGUCAAUGGAAGAUACGCGGUAGGGAUUUCGUCCACAGCAUCCGGGGAUUUGAGAACCCAGCUUUUCAAGUUUUCUUAUUUUAGGCACGGAAAAUUAGCGAUUGUUUCCUUAGUAUCAAGGUUUAUGACAUUUUCAAAUGUUUUGAAUCUACUCCCGUCCAACAACAAGUUCUUCAUGUUCUCCACUCAUCUUUUUUAUUUGAACUUGUUAGUUUGUUUUUAGUUUAGUUAUCUUUCUCACGUAAUGAAGGUGUUGGUCUUGCAUGGAUUCCCUUUUCCUCCAUUACUCUUUACUCUUUUUCCUUGUUUUUUUCUUUGAGCAAUAAUAUGACAAAAGAGAACUUGAAUGAGCUCCCACACUAUCCUCGAGACCAAAUUCUAUGUUGUUAUACCAUCCUGACGCUGCUUUGCUUAGAUGCCUUUUUUAUGCUUCAGAGUCCUGGAUCGUAUUCCCUGUUGCUACCAAGUGGUGUAUCAAUGGCUACUGCAAUACUUUCUAUAGAAUUUGUUAAAUCUGGCACAUACUCUGCCCACUACAGCCAUCCAUGAAAUACUUCUUUUAUUUAAACAUAUUAGUAUUGCUUUUCUGCAGGAAUUGUUCACUUGACUAAUUCCUUGCUACAUAUUCUUCAUGCUGUUUCAAACAAAAUGAACUUCUUUACUCUUGAGUUUGCGAAUUCAUACUUUUCCUAUAUUUCAUAACAUCACUUGCUGAAUAUUUGGGGAAAAAAGUGGAAAUAGAAUGUGAAAAAUUGUACUCUUUGCAAUUUGGAAGAUCUAUUGUUCUGCAGGCUAUUGCUGCAGCCUAUUGGAAACUGCACAAUAUUUCCAGUAAAUGGGGCCAAAGUUUCGUUUCCUCCUAGUGAACUCCACAUGCCAUUCCUCUCGAUACCUUUCUAUUGCUUUUCUUUAUUUGUUAAAUAUGAUAAUUAUUUUUUUUUUCUACAACUUAUGAAUUUCUAAAUGUCAAGGCCAUUUCCUCUGGCAGCUUAUAUAAAUAUAUAUUCUGUGAUGGUCAUGAUGGUAGUCCUGUGAAAGCUGCAUCCUUUCCUAAAACAGUGGUUCUGUUAUUAAUUACAAAUGGUUGCUUCUUUGUGUUGGAGGCCGAUGAUGGUAUAUACAUCCUUUUUUUCCUGUAUUUUUCUUUCUUUCAUAUGAAAAAUCUCCGAUGAGUUGCCCAGGAGGUGGAGGCUUGCUGGUUUCUUAUGAUUAAUGAUCCUUGAUCAACUUCUGUUAUCAUUUUCCCCCAGAUUGCUGGGGCGAUAAUGAAAUUUUGUGAGGGUGAUUUGCCCUAUAGAAGCAUAAUUUGUUUGUAAUAUUCCCCAUCAAGGCCAAGACUCGAGCAAUAACUUAUACAAGUUGUAAUUUAAGGAACCCAGAUCUGUUUAUCCAUUAGAACUUAUGGCUAAAAGAAAUCAUACAUGACAAUAUCCCUGAUCUAGCACUAAUUCUACCAUGUCAUAGUAACUUAAAUUGCCUAUACUUCUUAUACUUCCAAAAGAUGUCAUCUCUUAUUUAGGCACUGCAAUGUCAUGCAUGAUAAAGCUGAAGAGAACAUUUAUCUUUUAGGUUACGAUCCUUAAAAAUUAUGACUGUGUUUAGAUAUGCCAUUAAGAAAGCUUUCAAAAUUAACUGCUAUACCAAAAAUCUUGUCUAAUAUUAUGGUUACUUCACAACAACCAGAUGUAAUGGCUAUUGAGUUUAACUUAGUUACUAAAGGAUCUAUUAGUCGAAAUGUUGGACUUUUUUCCCAAUUAUAUUGCAGAUUUUAGCAAAAACAUCAUAAUUGAUGGAGCAUGGGAGUGACAAAACUGCUAAAUUAUGAUGAUACGCGUCAAAGAUUUUUUUUAGAUUUAGAAGUCCAGUGCAUGACCUUUGGAUGAUGAAAACCCAUGAGCACGUAUGUGGGUAUACGACUUGGAUGCUUCUUUCACAAUUUUAUAGAAUGUUUUCAGACCUUUAGGAAAUGAGGACACUAAGAAUUGCUGAUAGUUAAUGUUAUUGAAGACUAAUUUAUGAAAAAUACCAUUUGGGGUUAGUUUGAAUUUUGAACACUGGCUUUAGACAGUCUUGAUGAAAAGAGGGUCUCUUAGAUUUAGGUUGAAGGAUAAAAGGUGAUCAGAGAAAAGUCAGAAGGGAUUUAAGCACAGAUUUUUGGAGGACUUAGCUUUGUUUAGGAGCCAACAAAAUUAUCUCCGACAAAGGCUAAUUAGCCCACUAUAUUCUUACAUCAUUGUUAAGGCUAGAAAAGUUAUUUAGGAAGCUUUUAGUAGCUGCUAACUACUGUUGGAAUUGAUAUCAUGUGGGGUUUAUAAAUGGCUAUUAUCUCAGAGGAUACUGGUGAAGAAACGCCUUUACAAGUUUGUUUCUCGUUUUGAUGAUAUAUCCUAUGAAUUUUAUUGCAUUAAGCAACCUGCUCUAUUUAACUUUAUAUGUGGUGCCUUAUUCUGCAAAAGGUACACUUGAAUGGUAUUGCUACUUUCAUUGGCACAGUAUGGCUUGGUGUAGCUGUUGUGGUUCUUGCAGUCCUUAUUGGUCGGGUAGGUGACAACUUGCACAUGCAAAUUAUUAUAACAUUCUAUAUUUUCAGAGAAUUAUGAUGUUUUUUUAGUAAUAAAUUUUUCAUAUUCUUUAUAACAAGAACCCUGUUGGGUCUGUGAAUUUAUAAACGAACAGACAAGUGUAGAGUCUGCAGUGAAUGGAGUCAUUAAGAUCUUGACAAGUAUGUGUUCAUAAUUCAUAUUUUGCCAUUUUUUUUAAUAAAAUAAGGUCUUACACGCGUCCCCCUCCCAAACAAAAAAGAAAAGAGAAAAAAACGAGGUGUCUAUCGUGGUUGUCGCUGGCUUCCAUUUGGCUGUUACCAUGACGUGAGUAUGCACAAUUUAUUUAGGCUAUCUUCUUUCUUUUCCAAUUUGGAUUACUUAGUUUCUUUGUUAUCUUUCUAAGUUCCUAGUUUACUCUAAUUAUUUCAGCCUCUCGUACUCAAUGUUCAAAAAAUGAUGGCGGACAAGCCUAGGGUACAUUUUUUUCUUAAACUUAAAUACAAAUAUUUUCUGACAUAUAUGCUUGGAUAAUGUGACAGGUGCAUAUGAAACCAAGAUUCACCGUAUCGGUAUUGGACUCCAUAUCGGUACCACACUAGCAUAGUGUUGGUACGAUACAGUAUGUAGUUUUUUUGGCGUACCGAGUAUCGGUAUGCCACCGAUACCAGUGUCGGUACCGUCCAAUUUGUUCCGAUAUGGCAUACCAUGGGUGAAUCUGUGGGAUGGCCUACAACUAUUUAUAGUGAUAAGACUGGAACAUAUGAUAAUAUGAGUGAUUAAACAAUAGAAGGUGAUGUCAAGGCUGCUGGAGAACACUAAUAAGCUAGCUAUAAACAUCACAACUGAAGCUGAUGUCGGUGAACCAUAUAUAAGCCUGGAAACUGGUGGUGGAAACGCUGGUUGAUGAGGCUGCAAGUACCCUUGGCCCCGGAUGGGUGGGUGUAUGCAUAUCCAUGCAUUUUUUUUACUACUGCCUCCCUUCUAGAUGGAUGGCUCAAAAACAAGGAUCAACUAAUCAGCUGUACUUUUUUUUUUUUACCCAUAUAGUCUGUUGGCCCCACCAACCCCAGCAGCUGCAAUACAGGAAUAUCACCCCACAGAUGUGCGAGGUAUGUCUUCUCAGAACCAAGUCUGUCAACUCUUUAAGUUCAAUUUUUUUUUUCACAAUCAUGUUACUUAUAUGUCUACACAAAUUAUACAUGAUGAUUGACUAUUCUAAUCAUUUCACCAAACAAGAUGUGAUGAAGUGCUCUUUUGUUUGGUGAAAUUGGACAAACUCCAAUCACGUUUUAAUGUAUGUUGGAUGCGGUCUAGCUCCAUUAAUCAUAAUCUAAAUCUCUAGUCUCCAUAUAGCAGGGGAAACCUGGUUACGAACUUAGUGGACGAAGUCUAUAUAGACAAUCCAAAUAUGGAACUACACUUGCUUCAGCUUGUAUCUUUACGAGGCCGAGUACUCGAAAAAACCAUUAGCAAGCUGAUGAUGAUACACGGAACUAGUUUGCUUAUCAAUGGACUUGGCCACCUACUGCUUGGUGCCGGGGGAAGUUUUUUAUCUUGUGGCAGUACUAAAUGUGCAUCGUGGUGAGAGUUGUGGACAUCAGGAACAAUGGUGAGAUGAUUUGUUAUUGCUGAUAGCAUGGAGGAUUACGUUGGCGUCAAUCCAGACCACUAGACUGAGAACAGAAAGUUUCACGUAUGCACUCCCUAUGUAUAGUAAUAUUUUAUAUAAUAUUUUAUAAGAAUGUCAAAGAAAAGGGGAAUAAAUUUUAAAGUCGAUCCUUGGAAAGCUGUUUCAUGCAUAAUUAUGGUUAGGGGUGAAGACCAUGUGCCUUUGGGGUGUGGCUUGGGUUUAGGUAGAAUUGGGUCAAGGUUUUUUAACUAUGAGUUGGGCUUGAUAGGCUUAGGUUAAUGUUGAGUUUAAGUCCAAGAUGAAUCCAACCCUAACCUAAUCAUGAAUCCAAUUCAUAUAUAGUUGUGUAUCGCACAUGUUUAUAGUGUUGUAAUGCAUGUCUACCAUCUGUAUUGAAAAAUGGUUGAGAUCUCAAUCCAAUAAAUACUAAUCUAAUAAAAAUAUAUUUUCAAUAUCUUAAAAAUUCCCUAUUCAACAUGAGCCAAUCUAAGUAAUGUGGCCUAACAAAAUUUGAUUUAACAUAAUUUAAUCCAAAUUUAGUCUAAGAUGAGCCUGGGUUGGAUUUGGUUAAAGAAAUCCCAUUCGGAGGCUGAGUUAGGAUUUGCACCUCAACCCAAUUCAAACCCAAUUUAGCUGGGUUAGGAUUUGCCGUCGACCCAACUCAAUUAAGCUCGGCUGCAGCCUUAAUGUGCCUAAUGUUGUGCCUUCAAAGUCAUAUGCUACACAACUAUACUCAUAAGCCAUCAACAUUUCUUUGUACCACUACAAUUUUGUACUGAAUCUGGCAUCAGAAUCUUAAGUUGUUUACACAAAAACAAUGCACUGUGGGCCUUUAUAGCUUGGCCCAUGGGCCGUGUUAUACAUGGAUUUAACUGUUAGCUUCCUAUUUUAGGACCCGACGGUCCUCGUGAUUUCAGUAAAUCCAGCUACUUCAUUUCUUCUUCCUCUCUUGAAGUGGACAAAUUGGCUCCUGAUUCGCACACUACCACAAACCUUUACCCAUUCCAUUCCUAUAACCGCAAGUCCUCAGUGAAUAAUCUUGAAUAUGUCACCUUAUAUAAUAACAUUUUUUAUGCCCAUUGCCCAAUCAGAACAUCCAACAAAAGGUUCCAAUCUACUGAUCCCAGAGCAAGUCCAUAUCAACAAAAGUCCAAUCUACUGAUCCUACCUCCUAUGCCUUACCCUUCUGACUUUGCUACCCAACUGAAGCCCUAAGCUAGCCAAAGUGAAAUACUGAAUGCCAUCAUUCUAACCAAAUAAAACAUUCUUGUUCUAGGAUUUUCUCACGCUCCACUGACAUCAAGACUAUGAUAAUGAUAAGGAUUUUCUCACGCUUAUCCAUUGGAACAUGCCAGUGGUGCCAAGUCCGAAAGUAUACCCUUAGCCUUUAUGAAAAAUCACUUAUUCCACGUCGUGGUCUCCCACAACUAGGGCUUUCUAGUGUAAACAAGAGUAAAGAUGCAUUGGAAUUUUCAGACAUUGGAUAUGGUUGAUUGAAGUCUAAGGAAAGAGCCAAGCAGGUACCGCUUUAAAGUUGAAGGGUCUCCCUUUACGCUAUUCCGCCUAAUAACAUAUAUAAAAAAAGUAAUAACCAUCAUCCAAGCUUCCAACCGUACCCUGUCAUUUUAGGAAUGCCGAAAUCUUUGGAGAAGGAAUCUAGGCAAAGCCUGAAGCUAAUGGCACCUCAUUGUCGGGAACUGGAGGAGAAGGCUGAGGGGGACAAGUUUCACUCCUCUGUAAACCUAGGACCAUGUAUAACUAACUAUUGCGGAUUAUUUAAUUGAUGUUGAAAGUAACCCAUUGCACAUAAAUAAUAUCAUUUGAUUCACCUCGAUCGCAUGUAACCCAUUGUGCGGAAAGAAGAUCAGCUCUAGCUAACAGCUAAAAAUGUUUAAACAGCUUCUACUAGGUUGGAUAUAUAGAAAAUCCCUGAUAGCAAUGAAGUGGAGCCCUUAAUGCCUGUUAAGACAUGCCAUGGCAUUAGUUAAAAUAUUUUGUUUAUCUAAGUUGACUUGCAGAAGCUUAACUCGUAUCAUCCUACCAGCUUGCAAUGGACGGACGUAAAACCGACAAUAGAAUGCUGCACUUCUCCUAGUAUUGUGAGUGGAGAAGUGCAUUGGUAGCUGGGCAUAUACUCAUGGCUUUGCAAAGUUUCAAAUUCAUAUGCCAGAACAACAUGUUAAUAUUGGCACAUUCACGUGAUUAUGAACUGUUAAACUUUUCGAGAAGUUCUUGGUUUAGAUAUUUGUGUUGAGCUAUGAUAUUUGUGUCAAGUUGAUUCAAUUACUUAAACUCUAUAAUUGAGAGGCUUCCAAAUGGUUAAAUUAGUAUAAUAUCAAAAGGUUAGGUGCCAGCUGGCAUGGGCUCCAGGUUUGAGUCUCACCUUCACUAUACUUCAUGAUAUUCCAUGAUGAAAUGAGUCUUGUCCAUGUUUCUAAUUGGUGGACCAAAGUCCAACAUGCCACAUAUCAUUACAUUCCCACCUAAUUGCCUCCAUCCUAGUGGUUAUAGUUGGACGAUCCACCACCUUCAACCCUUAGGGUGGUAUUUUUUAUGUAUAUAUGUAUCUUUACAAAUUAUUCUUGCCUUGGCUUAUAGUUUUCUUUUCCUUGUUUGUUUAGAGUAGAAGCAAGACGAGUAUUUCACCCGGAAGCAACACUGUAUUUCUUAUAUAUCUAGCGUGAAUAUUGUGAAAGGAUAUUGUUGCUGAAAAUUGGACCUGGAGGCAACCACUGGGUUGAGAGGGAGGAGCUCCGGCGAGAGUUGGCGGGUGGCGGUCCGUCGACGAGCGGCGUCCUCUGGGAAACUUGCAAAAAGCCGGUGGCCGGGGUUUCCGGUGCCGGUCCUCCGAUGCUUAAGUCAGAGGGGGCUAAUGUGUAGAAGGAAGGAGAAAAUAUAUCUCCUCAAUUUCAGAGUUCAACCCCCUCUAAGGAGGAGGGGUUUUUCUUUUAUAGAGGGAUAUAGGUGUACCUGCAAUGUGACGGAGCGAACAAGUUGCCGUCAUAAUUGAGCAUGUCGUCCGAAUUAAUGCACGAUCAUGUGAAUUAUUGCAUUGCCGUAGGAGAUCAGACCGGAGCCAGUGAGUCGUCGUGGCUGAUCGGACGUAACCGGGUAGGUCAGCUGUUUGCCGUGAAGAGCUUGAGAUUCGUAGAUAGCAUGCGCAUUAAUUGUUGAGUGAGCCGGGGGUCUGCAGAAGUCAUGCGCAUUAAUUGUUGAGUGAGCCGGAGAUCUGCAGAGGCCAUGCGCAUUAAUUGUGGACAGCGGUGGCAGGGUAUGGUCCUCGGCCGAGUUGCCGAGGGAUGUGACCGCUGCAGAUGGGUAGCAAGGUCGGGCUCCGAGGUCGAGGACGCUGAGGUCGGGUGCCCUGGUCGGGCGUCUCGGAGUCGAACAUUUGGCCGGGUGCCAAGUCGAGAGCCUACAGGUCGGGCGCCAGGUCGGGAGCCUACAGGUCGGGCGCCUACUCGGACGCCUUCGAUCACGUGCUGGCGAUCUACUCACGUGCUUCAAGGCGAUUUAUUUUUCCCCCAACACUACCCCCGACUUCCGAGUUCGAGCCGUUUGCGAGCUCGGGCGUGGGAAGUAGUUGCCUUUAUUGCAUUGAUGGGGGCCAGGGAAUCUUAAAUCGUUCCGGCGUUUCGCGCACUUCGGGGCAUCUUUAAUUGGAGGAGAUGGGGCGACGCCUUUUCGCCCUUCGAGGCUGCCUCGCACGGUGGGCUCAUGAUGGGGCUCCGAGAUCCGAUGAGACACUGCCUUGAUUGUGUAUUCGAAGCGUCGAUCCUAAAUAUGUCGCUUCGAUUUUCGGGGCCGACACGUGGCAUGAUCUGGACAGAAGGUGGGAUCCAGUUGCGCCGAUCUGGGCCGUCAGAAGGGUCUAUAUAAACCCCUUACCUUAGCCCUAGAAAGGUCUUGCUUGGCCGCUUGUUGCUGCUGCUCUCCUUUUUCCUCCAUUUCUUUUCUCCUUUCCUAGCCGUAACCGAGCCUUCCCGGCGGUGCCCUGAGGCGAUUUCCGGCGACCCCUCCGUAGGUCAUUUUCCCACGUAGGCUCGGGGAUCCCCCUUCUUCUUCUUUUCUUUCUUCGUUUUUUGUUUUCUUCUUCGCCCUUCUCUCUUUUUUUUAAAGAUGGGUCUUGGUCCGUAUGAGGUCGGGUCUAACCUGAUGGAGGAGGAGCUAAAGUUGGUCCGUUCCCGGUUCUUUUUUCGGCCUGGAUUUCAUCUUAAGCCUGCGGGGCUGGGGGACCGGGUGACGAGACCUCCUCCAGGUUGGAUCGGGGUGUACGUUGAGACACUCUGGGCCAGCCUGCGGUUUCUUCUCCAUGAGUUUGUGAACGAUUUGCUGGUGGAGUAUCAGCUCGUCCCAGCACAACUCGCUCCGAACUCAUGGAGGACCAUCGUCGGGUUCCUAUCCCUUUGCCUUGCGCACGGGAUUCCGACCUUGGUAAGUGUCUUCCGUCGGUGCUUCUUGUUGAAGUCGAACCCGGCGGACGGAGAGUUCAGGGCCAUGCGUAUUAAUUGUGGACAGUGGUGGCAGGGUAUGGUCCUCAGCUGAGCUGCCGAGGGAUGUGACCGCUGCAGAUGGGUAGCAAGGUCGGGCUCUCGAGGUCGAGGACGCUGAGGUCGGGUUUCCGGGUCGAGCGUCUCGAAGUCGAACAUUUGGCCGGGCGCCAGGUCGGGAGCCUACAGGGUCGGGCGCCAGGUCGGAUGCCUACAGGUCGAGCGCCAGAUCGGGAGCCUUCAGGUUGGGCGCCUACUCGGACGCCUUCGAUCACGUGCUGGCGAUCUGCUCACAUGCUUCAAGACGAUUUAUUUUUUUUCCAACAGAUAUUGAUCUCGAGAAUAAAACCAUCCAUCUUGCUUUCUGCAUUCAUCGUGCCUAGUGUUAGCAUGUUAUUGGGAAAAGUGUUAACGGAAUGGGCAUCCGAAUUUUUACCCACUUUCCUGGGAGACAUCUUGUGUAGUUUUAUUCGAUGGCUUUUUUAUGAUCAUUCAUCAAAUAAUCCUAACACUUGAGUUAAUUAUAUGAACUACAUGUGCUGAAUUUUAGCUAUAUGCUGCACAAACCCUUCACUCCCUUAUAAUUGUAGUAAAUAAACCCUUUAUCCAAUAGAUGACUAAGAAAGAAAGAAAGAGAAAUGCAUGCUAGAUGGAGAGUAUCUUAAGAUUCACUGAAACAAAUAUAUACACCAAAUACUUGCUUCUCUUAAAUAAAUCACGUUCAUAUGCUUGCAUAGAAGCAUCUGAAAAAGGUUAACCAACAAACUGUAAUCGUGUUUGUGCUUUUAGGUUACAAAGAGAGGUUGAUCUGGUAAAACUUAUAUAGCUAUCCAUCAUGCUGCGUGAUUUACAAUCAGAGUGUGUCCUACAUUGUGCAUGCGCAUUGGUUUCCUCCCAUCAUUACGCUAAAAUAAUACGAGUUUCAUUUCUCGGACUCCUCAAGCAUCCACUUUAAUGAUCGAUAGAAGAUACAGUAUGCAGCAUGGCGAGGAUGGCGACCUUCCUCCUCUUUUUCCCCUACACUUCUGGGUCUUUUUAAAGGACCCUUGGUGUCAGCGUCGCGAGCGGGGAAUAGGAACCGAUACUGUGUGCCUUCCUUGGAUUACAAGGGACGGUACGGAACAUUUUAUUACCAUCAACUGUGAUGGAAUGAGAUGCAGCUCUUUUGAUGAAUUUCGUAGAAGUAUCUUUACUUUUUCGAAAAGGUGUCGGAUGGAAUGAGAUUGGAGGCUCUGCUUUUCGACAAUAUCUAUCUAUCUACCAUCUAGUAUUUAUCUACUAUAUAUAAUAAAUAUAAUGCAAAUUCUAUCUAUCUUGAAAAUCUCAACAAAUUUAAAUUAUGUUUUUUAUAAAAUAAAUUUUUAAUACUAAUCUUUUUUAAAUAACAUAAUAAACAGAUUAAAGUCCUAACUGCGUUCCAAAUGGAUAGUUCUCAUUAUAUAUUAUUUAGUGUGGUGAUAUGAAGGACACCGAUAUCGAAAUGCAGUGAGAAAUGCAGAUACAUACUGAUAAGCUCCGAGAGGAGUUCAUGCUAUAAAAAAAUUCUAGUUGUUCAAAUUGGGAAAAGAUUCUGUAUAUAAAGAUGAUAUAUAUAGCUGGAAAAAAGAAGAAGGAAGAAACGUUGCGUGCUUGGAGAAUAUAGAGAUGCUGCCACUGUCAUGCGUAUGAAUGAGUUCACGCUAUAAACCUUGCCCUUAUUUUGUGUGCUCGUAAGUACGUACACAAAAAAAUAUAUUAAAUUAGUAAUAAUUUAAUAAUUUAGUUUCAUACAUAACAAAAAAAAAAUUAUUAUGUGUACAGAAAUUCGAGAAUUAUGCUGAUCGAUCUAUGCCACGCGGCCCAUUUGCUUGCCGCAUGCGAAGACCACGUCGGUUUUCGCGGGCCUCUUAUGGUUGCGCGGCCGGUGCGCGUAUCUAUUUCACGAGAACCACGCUUAAUUCCGUCGGCAAAUCGACCGCGCCGUAGCCGUCCUCGCCGCGUCCUCACGACACUCGGCUUCCUUGUAGAGUUAAUUACUUUUAGGUUGCAUGUACGUGAGUGGGAUCGUCCCAAUAUAGUCACUGGCAGCUUUAAUAUCCGUGCGAAUUGCUCUGAGAAUGCAUAAGCAUCUCAAAACCAUUUGAGUCUGAGUUACGUGUGGCGGCAACAGCAGCCAGGUUUCCGGAUCCACUCAACCCCUGUGCCGCCCUAUUAUUUCCGGCCCUCUAAGCAUAGCACAUUGCUUUCAGGGACAGUGAGAUGUCGGUCCAGGUGGUUUGGUGGCCGGCCCAGUGUAAACACAAGGUAAUCCUCAAAGUUUGCCGACAAAGGGAGUAGUGGUGCAUGUUCUUCCCCCCCUCCCUUUCGCGGAUUCUUUUAUCGAUGCAAAGCGGUGAGCCAGGCACACCCGGCACAACCUUUUGACCAAUAUAAAGAGUGACAGACACAUGGGAACGAAGCAGAUGCCCCCAAGCACCCGAAGCUGGGUCCUCAGCCGGGUCACCGCUUCGCCUCAUCCUAUCUUCCAGCUUUUCUCCACGGCCAAGGUACGCUCCAGCACCUUGAUUUGUUUCUNNNNNNNNNNNNNNNNNNNNNNNNNNUGGUCCCGGCCGGCAGCUGAAAGAAAUGCUCCUGGCCGGACCAGUGUAGCCAUUUUUUCCGUCGCCGGCCAGAGGGGGGGGGGGAUAUUAAAGUCUAGAUCUAGGCCGCGCAGAAGAACGGCGCCGUACAUAUAUAUGCCCGUGAGAUAUAUCGGGCCACGCGUGGUACAGUGGCGGCGGUUGUCCGUUCACCUAUCCUGAGAUGCUUUCCAUCGGCCGGCGGUACGGUGGCGGCUUUGUCCGCAACUCACCGGAUGGGCCUUGGGAAGUGGUAGGUGCCGAAGAGGAUCCGAGCGGAGAGGCCUCCGCUGCGACGGAUUCAAACGAGGCAGGCUUGUUGGUUUACGCUGCAAGGCUGCAUGUCGGACUGGUCUUGCAAUAACCAAGAUCUAAUAUCCUGGUCUUGCAAUGCGCAACGUACGUGUGACAUGCAUAUACUUUGCAUACAUUAAAUAAAAUAUUAGACUGAUCUUUUAGUAAUGGAAAAUUGUUUGUCGUCAUUAAAGAUUUUUUCAUAAUUUUUUGUAUGAGGGAAGUCCCUGCAAAAGCUGCAUCUUCUUCUCACAAGUAACUUUCUCAUCAACAUAAAUAAUAUCUAGUGAUUGUUUGUUGUUUCUAUUGCAUAAAUAUAUAUACACAUAAAAGAAUAUGAAUUUAGACCCAAAUCAAUUUGUUAAGUCCAUCCAACUUACUAUUUAUAGACAUUUUUAACCAUUGAUUUUGAAAUGCAUAGAGUUUUGUUAUAUUAUGAUGGUUAUUUAUCAUGUCAUGGUAGAUAUUCAAUUUUAUAGAGUAAAUAUUAAUCAUUUUAAAAUAAAAUAAAGUAACAAUAGUUCUUAAACUAGAUUGACAUCAAUAGAACAGACUAGGUUUAUAUUAACCUAUAUUUUUGUAAAAAAAUAAAAAAAGAAAUAAAUCUAAUGUAAGUAAUCAUGAUGAUGCUUUUGUACCUAAAAAUAAAUAGGCCAGACCGAAUCAUCUCUAGUAGAUGAUGCUUUUGUAAGCAUUGAAGAUGAAUAUGUAGGUUAUUUUACUAUAUGUCAUGGUAGUUUUUGAGUCAAAAUCCUCCCUGAGCUAGAAAGAUCCAUACUUAGAAUCAUAGCCAUCAAUAUGUUGCAUGAUGACAAUGAUUGCAUGCGCUCUGCAUAUAAGUAUAUGAGAUGGCUUAUAUAUCGUGCAAUGAUCAUGUAAUCGCAUCAUUAUGCACGACAUAGAUGGGUAUAAUAGUGAAAAUGAACCUCUACAGUUCAACCUUGAGUUGAGGAGGAUCUAAACUUGCUUAUUUAUAUUACUCAUGUCUUACAUGCAUGUUGAACCUCUUAAAAUUACACAAUUAUGCCAGUCUAUCACUAGCCAAUACAAAAGGAUACUAUGUGUGUAUUUCAUGCACUUUGAGAUUGUUUGAGCUAUGUAAAGAGAACCAUAUGUAGUUUGAGUUAUAAUUUAUGCUCGUUUGCUUAUUUGGAUGCCCAUGAGUCGAUCGAGAUGCUAUAUAGGUUAAGCACUUGGUUGUUUGCAUCUCAAGCUUGAUCUAUGAUAUGUCAACCCAUAGCCAAAUAGGUCACUCUCAUUCCGAUCCUCUUCCCUCCUACAUAACUCCACCCCCCAUCCUCCUUUUCCUCCUCUCUCCAUCACUCCCCCUUAUAUUCCCUCUAAAUAGGAGAAAUUGAGUUCUUGCAAUUCAAUCUAGAUUGUAGCUUGAGUUGCUAGCUCCAUCUACAAUACUCUAAAUAAUUUUU
This 43409-nucleotide long non-coding RNA is filed under the name Phoenix dactylifera (date palm). RNAcentral describes it as "long non-coding RNA (PDAC_LNC001691)". Lineage: Eukaryota; Viridiplantae; Streptophyta; Magnoliopsida; Arecales; Arecaceae. The record is from RNAcentral.